UACAGAGGGUGCAAGCGUUGUUCGGAAUCAUUGGGCGUAAAAGCGCACGUAGGCGGUCUGCUAAGUCGGGUGUGAAAAGCCCCAGGCUCAACCUGGGAAGUGCACUCGAAACUGGCGGACUUGAAUGUCGGAGAGGGUGGUGGAAUUCCGAGUGUAGAGGUGAAAUUCGUAGAUAUUCGGAGGAACACCAGUGGCGAAGGCGACCACCUGGACGAACAUUGACGCUGAGGUGCGAAAGCGUGGGGAGCAAACAGG
RNAcentral lists this ribosomal RNA (255 nucleotides) under uncultured bacterium. Its description in RNAcentral is "partial 16S ribosomal RNA". It matches the Rfam family "Bacterial small subunit ribosomal RNA", at positions 524 to 776 of the family's 1533-position model. The record is from RNAcentral.